UCCUUCGACACACAGCAGCGGAGCGGCGGAAAUCUCUCUCCACCUUCGGCCUUUCCUUGCUCCCUCUCUCUCAGUUUUCUUCUUCUUCUUUUCCUUCUCCUUCUUCUUCUCAGAUCCACCGAAAAGGAAUACACUAUUCAUCUUCUCCCUCCCUUCGACAUAGAGCGGUGGCAGCAAGAAAGAGGAGCACUGGUCAUCGGCGGCAUCCCCAUCUUCUACCAGAUUUGGUGGAGGUCUGACGUUCAGCAUUGCCUAUCAUCCCUCCACCGUUAUCUGAUGGUUUCCUUUUUUGUCUCUCGAUCCGGGCAUUUAGUGGAAGAUCGAUAUCUCCCAUGUUCCACGAGCCUCAUUUCGAGUCCAAAAAACCUCAGAAGUCACUGCUAGUUCACCCACACUAGGAAGGAGUUGCUCGACCUCUGUAAUCUCCCAUCAUCACCUACAAGGCACACCAAACUCAUCUGAAUCUCUCCCGUUCACAACAUCAAAUUGCCGGCUGGUACAUCAUUUAGAACGGUUAGAUAUGUCAGGAUGAAUGUUGUUAACGGCAAUGGACACUCGUUCAAUUCUGUUCUUGACUUUGCUGGUUAUGCUUUCUUGAUUUUACUGAUUAUGGAUUCAGAUGUAAGCUUAUUUGGUGUUACUUCUAUGCGUGUUUUCUUUCUUUUCUUAUGGGUUUAUCGGUUGGGUAGUAGAAGUUUGUACUAUUAACUGUGCUGGAAAUGUGUUCAACAUGAGUUCCACAA
Long non-coding RNA from Nelumbo nucifera (sacred lotus), 743 nucleotides. RefSeq lists it as uncharacterized. Lineage: Eukaryota; Viridiplantae; Streptophyta; Magnoliopsida; Proteales; Nelumbonaceae. The record is from RefSeq and is a predicted model, not a curated record.